UGGGGAUUAGUGGCGAACGGGUGAGUAACACGUGGGCAAUCUGCCCUGCACUCUGGGACAAGCCCUGGAAACGGGGUCUAAUACCGGAUACAACCACUGACCGCAUGGUCGGGUGGUGGAAAGCUCCGGCGGUGCAGGAUGAGCCCGCGGCCUAUCAGCUUGUUGGUGAGGUAGUGGCUCACCAAGGCGACGACGGGUAGCCGGCCUGAGAGGGCGACCGGCCACACUGGGACUGAGACACGGCCCAGACUCCUACGGGAGGCAGCAGUGGGGAAUAUUGCACAAUGGGCGAAAGCCUGAUGCAGCGACGCCGCGUGAGGGAUGACGGCCUUCGGGUUGUAAACCUCUUUCAGCAGGGAAGAAGCGAAAGUGACGGUACCUGCAGAAGAAGCGCCGGCUAACUACGUGCCAGCAGCCGCGGUAAUACGUAGGGCGCAAGCGUUGUCCGGAAUUAUUGGGCGUAAAGAGCUCGUAGGACGGCUUGUCGCGUCGGUUGUGAAAGCCCGGGGCUUAACCCCGGGUCUGCAGUCGAUACGGGCAGGCUAGAGUUCGGUAAGGGGAGAUCGGAAUUCCUGGUGUACGCGGUGAAAUGCGCAGAUAUCAGGAGGAACACCGGUGGCGAAGGCGGAUCUCUGGGCCGAUACUGACGCUGAGGAG
This 657-nucleotide ribosomal RNA is filed under the name bacterium EAB-4I45.02. Its description in RNAcentral is "bacterial SSU rRNA". It matches the Rfam family "Bacterial small subunit ribosomal RNA", at positions 86 to 753 of the family's 1533-position model. The record is from RNAcentral.